GUGGUACUGUGAUGAGUACAGCUAUCUGCCAAGCAGCUGACCUGGGUUUGAUUCCCAGC
Molecule: transfer RNA, 59 nt
Filed under: Chelonia mydas (Green sea turtle)
Lineage: Eukaryota; Metazoa; Chordata; Testudines; Cheloniidae
Rfam family: tRNA
About the family: Transfer RNA (tRNA) molecules are approximately 80 nucleotides in length. Their secondary structure includes four short double-helical elements and three loops (D, anti-codon, and T loops).
Source: Rfam by way of RNAcentral